GUGUCCAGUGCCGUUGAUUG
RNAcentral lists this microRNA (20 nucleotides) under Drosophila yakuba. RNAcentral's name for it is "dya-miR-978-3p". Its record names the gene dya-miR-978-3p. The record is from miRBase by way of RNAcentral. Lineage: Eukaryota; Metazoa; Arthropoda; Insecta; Diptera; Drosophilidae.